GCCAGUGUGCUAUAGUGGUUUAAGUGUUGGACUUUGACUCUGGAGACCAGGGUUCAAUUCCCUGUAUGGCCA
Non-coding RNA from Phrynosoma platyrhinos (Desert horned lizard), 72 nucleotides. NCBI's taxonomy places the organism in Eukaryota, Metazoa, Chordata, Lepidosauria, Squamata, Phrynosomatidae. The record is from the annotation of a GenBank genome assembly.